RNAcentral lists this long non-coding RNA (249 nucleotides) under Solanum pimpinellifolium. Its description in RNAcentral is "long non-coding RNA (SPIM_LNC000156)". The record is from RNAcentral. Lineage: Eukaryota; Viridiplantae; Streptophyta; Magnoliopsida; Solanales; Solanaceae.
AUAAAUGGGCAAUAGUUAGGAGAGGUGCGCCAGCGGCGAGCAGAAGCAAGGUUAUUAGAUACCUCAGGAAAGGAGCAAGAGUGGAAUGGAAGAAAGAAAGCUGUCCUUAUCUUCUUCUUCUCCUCCUCCCGACAUGAAGGAAUGCCCGAUAAUCCUUCGGGGGCUGGUAUGUCCUUUCAGUUCUGGUCUGGGGAACGCCGAUCAGAGAAAGCACUCCUAUACUGCCUGGUGUUGAUUCGGCAAUUUGCG